This 410-nucleotide ribosomal RNA is filed under the name Verrucomicrobiota bacterium. RNAcentral's name for it is "Verrucomicrobia bacterium partial 16S ribosomal RNA". It matches the Rfam family "Bacterial small subunit ribosomal RNA", at positions 355 to 776 of the family's 1533-position model. The record is from RNAcentral. Lineage: Bacteria; Pseudomonadati; Verrucomicrobiota.
UGGGGAAUCUUGCACAAUGGGCGAAAGCCUGAUGCAGCGACGCCGCGUGCGGGAUGAAGGCCUUCGGGUUGUAAACCGCUUUCAGCAGGGACGAGGCCGCAAGGUGACGGUACCUGCAGAAGAAGCCCCGGCUAACUACGUGCCAGCAGCCGCGGUAAUACGUAGGGGGCAAGCGUUAUCCGGAUUCAUUGGGCGUAAAGCGCGCGUAGGCGGUUUGUUAGGUCAGGAGUUAAAUCUGGGGGCUCAACCCCUAUCCGCUCCUGAUACCGGCAGGCUUGAGUCUGGUAGGGGAGGGCGGAAUUCCAAGUGUAGCGGUGAAAUGCGCAGAUAUUUGGAAGAACACCGGUGGCGAAGGCGGCCUUCUGGGCCACGACUGACGCUGAGGCGCGAAAGCUAGGGGAGCGAACAGG